This 89-nucleotide transfer RNA is filed under the name bacterium. Its description in RNAcentral is "tRNA-Leu". It matches the Rfam family "tRNA". Rfam says of the family: Transfer RNA (tRNA) molecules are approximately 80 nucleotides in length. Their secondary structure includes four short double-helical elements and three loops (D, anti-codon, and T loops). The record is from RNAcentral.
GCCAGAGUGGUGAAAUCGGUAGACACAGCAGACUUAAAAUCUGCCAACCAUAACAGGUUGUGCCGGUUCGAUUCCGGCCUCUGGCACCA